UUUGGGGGGCCUACGGGAGGCAGCAGUAGGGAAUCUUCCGCAAUGGACGAAAGUCUGACGGAGCAACGCCGCGUGAGUGAUGAAGGUUUUCGGAUCGUAAAACUCUGUUGUUAGGGAAGAACAAGUACCGGAGUAACUGCCGGUACCUUGACGGUACCUAACCAGAAAGCCACGGCUAACUACGUGCCAGCAGCCGCGGUAAUACGUAGGUGGCAAGCGUUGUCCGGAAUUAUUGGGCGUAAAGCGCGCGCAGGCGGUUCCUUAAGUCUGAUGUGAAAGCCCCCGGCUCAACCGGGGAGGGUCAUUGGAAACUGGGGAACUUGAGUGCAGAAGAGAAGAGUGGAAUUCCACGUGUAGCGGUGAAAUGCGUAGAGAUGUGGAGGAACACCAGUGGCGAAGGCGACUCUUUGGUCUGUAACUGACGCUGAGGCGCGAAAGCGUGGGGAGCAAACAGGAUUAGAUACCCUGGUAGUCCACGCCGUAAACGAUGAGUGCUAAGUGUUAGAGGGUUUCCGCCCUUUAGUGCUGCAGCAAACGCAUAAGCACUGAUGCG
RNAcentral lists this ribosomal RNA (553 nucleotides) under Cytobacillus oceanisediminis. RNAcentral describes it as "bacterial SSU rRNA". It matches the Rfam family "Bacterial small subunit ribosomal RNA", at positions 329 to 871 of the family's 1533-position model. The record is from RNAcentral. Lineage: Bacteria; Bacillati; Bacillota; Bacilli; Caryophanales; Bacillaceae.